RNAcentral lists this ribosomal RNA (497 nucleotides) under uncultured bacterium. RNAcentral describes it as "partial 16S ribosomal RNA". It matches the Rfam family "Bacterial small subunit ribosomal RNA", at positions 28 to 507 of the family's 1533-position model. The record is from RNAcentral.
GAUGAACGCUGGCGGCGUGCCUAAUACAUGCAAGUCGAGCGAACAGACGAGGAGCUUGCUCCUCUGACGUUAGCGGCGGACGGGUGAGUAACACGUGGAUAACCUACCUAUAAGACUGGGAUAACUUCGGGAAACCGGAGCUAAUACCGGAUAAUAUAUUGAACCGCAUGGUUCAAUAGUGAAAGACGGUUUUGCUGUCACUUAUAGAUGGAUCCGCGCCGCAUUAGCUAGUUGGUAAGGUAACGGCCUACCAAGGCAACGAUGCGUAGACGACCUGUGAGGGUGAUCGGCCACAUGGGAAGUGGGACACGGACCAGACUCCUACGGGAGGCAGCAGUAGGGAAUCGUACGCAAUGGGCGAAAGCAUGACGGAGCAACGCCGCGUGAGUGAUGAAGGUCUUCGGAGCGUAAAACUCUGUUAUGAGGGAAGAACAAAUGUGUAAGUAACUAUGCACGUCGUGACGGUAACUAAUCAGAAAGCCACGGCUAACUACGUG